GCGAAACGAGCGUAGCUUCCUUGUCGUGUGGCCUCAGUCCUUCGCCGUCCCUCGCCGUCCUUCGCCAUCGCACGCCACCGCACCCCAUCUCUCGAAAUCUGCAGACAUCUUGAUUUUUCCCACGCUGUCUGUCAGGUCUCCGCCGCCACUCGACGCCAGGGCGCCGGGUGAGUCCACAGCAGGGCGCAUGGUCGGCUCCACUCUCACCAUCGGGGGAAACUGAGGCCCCGGGGAAGGCGGCCAGAGAGGUCAGGCCCUGUCCUUGGUGCAGUGUCUCGUCCUCUUUGCCGGAGUGAGCCCCCCAGGAUUCGCGUGUCCUCGGGAAAGACACUGGCAGGCCUUGUGGGCUGUGCUGCACCUCGGACGGCUUCGCACCAGCCAGCGCCCUCUCUCUCCUGCAGCACUCUGAUCUGCACCCCCUGAGGGGCUUCCACUGUCCGCGGGGUGAGAAUGCCCCUGGGAGUGUCACAUGACUGCCGCCCCAUGUGUGUGAGAGGCGUCCUCUGGGAGAGCAUGGAUCCUGAGGUCCCAGGUCUCAGCCUUAGAUCCAAGGACAGUCCAAGGAAGUCCUAAGACCAUGGAGUUGGUGAUCUGGGAUCUGGGUUUGCUGAUAUUUCUCACCGUGAAUCUCUUGGUGGUGUUUGUGGGCACGAGAGGGGCAGAGAAUGGAGAGUGAGGCUACCACAUGAAGCGUCACCAGAGCUGCUCCCUGCUGCCUGCUCAGAGCACCCCGGAUCCACUGUUCAAUCUGCACAAGAUUCGGGGUCCAGACAUGGGAGACUUCAGCUGCCUCAGAGGACCGUGGACAGGGAAGGCCAGCCUCGCAUCCCUCUGUCCAUGCCUGGAAUGACUUUAAUAACCAAGAGUUUUAUUUUUGAAUUUGUAGCUGUCGUUCACUUUUUACCCACCCAUUCAAUAAACCUUACAGAAUUGCUC
RNAcentral lists this long non-coding RNA (936 nucleotides) under Homo sapiens (human). RNAcentral describes it as "small nucleolar RNA host gene 17". Lineage: Eukaryota; Metazoa; Chordata; Mammalia; Primates; Hominidae. The record is from RNAcentral.